UACGGAGGGUGCAAGCGUUGUCCGGAAUCACUGGGCGUAAAGGGCGCGUAGGCGGCUCAUGAAGGCUGUGGUGAAAGUCCGGGGCUCAACCUCGGAUCGGCCGUGGCGACUCGUGGGCUGGAGCGUAUCAGAGGCGGGCGGAAUUCCGGGUGUAGCGGUGGAAUGCGUAGAGAUCCGGAAGAACACCGGUGGCGAAGGCGGCCCGCUGGGAUACUUGCUGACGCUGAGGCGCGACAGCGUGGGGAGCAAACGAGG
This 255-nucleotide ribosomal RNA is filed under the name uncultured bacterium. RNAcentral describes it as "partial 16S ribosomal RNA". It matches the Rfam family "Bacterial small subunit ribosomal RNA", at positions 524 to 777 of the family's 1533-position model. The record is from RNAcentral.